Molecule: long non-coding RNA, 935 nt
Organism: Mesocricetus auratus (golden hamster)
Lineage: Eukaryota; Metazoa; Chordata; Mammalia; Rodentia; Cricetidae
Exons: 2
Source: RefSeq, a predicted model, not a curated record
UUGUUUCUAAUCUAAAUAAAAAGAAAAGAGGAAAAAAGAGUUGGUAGGGCAAGCAUAAGAUAAGGCUGAGCAUCCAUAACUAACAGCAAGUCUCAGUGUCAUGAUUUGGAAGCUGGUUGGUGUCACGCCCUCAAAAAAAAAAGCCUCCCACAGAUGGCCAGGAGCGUCAUUGUACCAUGCCUCAAAGCUUCACACUUCUGACAUCUAACCACCUACCCUUAGCCUUUGAGGCAUUUUGUGAGCUCAGUGGUGGUAGUCAGAGGCCGCGAAAGAACUUAGAAGAGGUGCAGCGAGGGAGGAAAUGGAGUGUGGGCUGGGCAGAGGCUGUGUGAGUAAGGUCUGCCCACACACAGAGGCAUAGGCAGCACCUCCUCUCACCAACCCUGGUAGUCUGAGAACUCGUGGGCCCACCUGGAGAAGACGACUGGGGUGGAUACGCUGGACAACGGCCACAUGGGCAGUCUACUGUGUGAGCAAGCAGCCAGCAGUGACGCCAGAGGUCUGACACUGCAGAGACUCACAGGGAAGACGGGCUUGACUGCGGGCAGCAGACCAGCCUCUGGUGACAAGCCGCAGUGUGACAGUGAGGAUUUCUAGAGAAGCCAGGAGAUGUGUGCCCCACUCAGGAUGGGGCGGAGGUGAUGUUCCCAAAGCCCACUUUCCACCAAAUUCAGUGACCUUUGAGCUCUCCAAGUCUUAUCCUGGCACAAGUGGUAGCUGUGGAGCCAGGGGAGUUUAGAGCCCCGUGAACCAAGCAGGAAGCUCACAGAAACAGGAAACACAAAUACUACUUCCUGGGAAGCUAAGACACGGAGAGGUAUCUGAAUCCAACCACUUCAGUGUGAAUGUCAGCUCUGCCCCUUGACUUCUGUGAGACCUUUGACAAGUCAUGAACUAUUACUAUCCUAUAAAAUGGAGACAAAUAGCAGCUCCCA